RNAcentral lists this ribosomal RNA (446 nucleotides) under Celerioriella petrophiles. RNAcentral's name for it is "partial 18S ribosomal RNA". The stretch from base 26 to 357 matches the Rfam family "Group I catalytic intron". From Rfam's summary of the family: Group I catalytic introns are large self-splicing ribozymes. They catalyse their own excision from mRNA, tRNA and rRNA precursors in a wide range of organisms. The core secondary structure consists of 9 paired regions (P1-P9). The record is from RNAcentral. Lineage: Eukaryota; Fungi; Ascomycota; Eurotiomycetes; Phaeomoniellales; Phaeomoniellaceae.
CUGUAAUUGCUAGUUUAUUGGUUAAAGAAGCCGUUGGUCCAAGUAUAAAAUCGGCGGCUUCUUUAACAAUAAGCAACACUAUCAAAUUGCGGGGACACCCUAAAGACCUUAACACCAAGCAGCAUUGGAAACGGUGCUGUGGCCGAGCUAAUAGCCCUGGGUAUGGUAACAGUUUAAGGUAUGAUCUUCCUCUCCUUUAACCAGAGACAGUGAAGAGAAAUGGGCAAUCCGCAGCCAAGUCCUAAAGCUUUUUGGUUCUCAAAAAGCCACGGAUGCUGUUCACAGGCCAAAUGGUAGUGGGUGAAGCUGAUUGCGGCUUUGCUUAAGAUAUGGUCGGUCCUCUUGUGAAAGCUUGAGGGGAAGAUUCACCACAGCCUCCGUUUCGAACGAGGGAAGCUGUACCUAAACAAAAACGUUCCGUAGGUGAACCUGCGGAAGGAUCAUUA